This 2551-nucleotide unclassified non-coding RNA is filed under the name Dimorphilus gyrociliatus. RNAcentral's name for it is "proteasome assembly chaperone 2". The record is from RNAcentral. Lineage: Eukaryota; Metazoa; Annelida; Polychaeta; Dinophilidae.
GUGAUCAAAAGCACUGUUAUGGUCUCCAAUAAAAUAGUAUCUUUACUUCGUUUCUUGUAUUUUAUUCGAAAUAUUUCGUAUAUAUAUAUUUAUAUUAAACAAAAAAAGAUGAGGUAUUCAACAACGUUUAAUCGAAAAAAAAAAUUCUUUGCGCUCGACUUGGCCUUGUAGAAAGGAAAUAUAAAAAAAGAGGUUAUAGGACUAGGAAAAAAGGAGGAGGAGCAGAAGAAGAAGAAGAAGAAGAAGAAGAAAAAGAGGAUGAUUAGUGUGGAAAAAACAACAAAUGUUCCUCUUAUUAUAUUUUCUUUAUGUGCCAUGUACUAUUGAAUUCUAGAUUAAUUAGAGCAUGGAAGAUACUGUUAAAAGCUUUAGUCUUGUUUCUUUUCUACCUACUUUAAAAUUACUAGUAGAAUUGAGUUAAUUUUUAUGCGAACUACUAAUAACCUCGGGUUUUUAUAUUUUUACUCUGUUUCAUCAAUUCUUUUAGUCCCUUCUAAAUUACUUUGGGUCUGUUUGUUUGAAAUGGAUUUAUUUUAUAGAUAGAAAUAAAAACAUAUUUACCAUCAUCCUGAACAAUGACAAGGAGCGUUAUAUAAUACUUUUGGCGUUAACAAAGGAAACCGUUUUUAUAUUGCAUAUAUUGUCUUCAUAUCCAGAUUGAUGUUCGCAUUAAAAAUUGCUUUUUCCUACAAAUUUGCUUUUUCUUUUUGUUUGGAUUUUUAUAACGGAAUUGAAAUUAAAUGAAAGAGAUAUUUGCAGUUUGAACUUGGAUUUGUAGUCUAUACAGAAUGUCAGAUAUGCUGAAGGCGUUUAAGGACGUUUCUUAAAAAAAACGGAUAUUUGCAUUCUAAAUUAACACCUGUUUUGCAAAUUCCCAAGGGCUAUAGUAUAGAAAAAAGCCUGUUUAGCUAAACGUAGAGCUAGAGAUAGGUUUGUAAUUGUCAUAUAUUGUUGGCUUUGUUAUUAGAGCAGAUGAAAGACGGAGCGUGGAACGUAUCUAUCUGCUCAAGGAUAUUGAGAAGAAUAGCAAACAAACAGGUUUGUAUUUGGUAAAUAGGCUGAAUUGAUCACGUUUUCCCUUUCUCAAUGUACCGAUUAUAUCGUUGUUGGUUAUUGAUAAAGUAACGAAAUUUGGAACUGACGAAACAUCCUGGAAGUGCCUCUCGGAAGAGAACCUGUCAUGAGCCUAAUAGGCCAGUUUAUGGAGGUAAUUCAGCAGUUUUUUCAUGUUGUUAUGGAAACGAGGUGUCAACUAAAACCAAACGUGGUUUGUCAACAUAGCAAAAUUGGGUUAAGAAAAGAGAGAGAGAGAGAGAGUAGGCUUACAUGUUAUACAGACCGCUAAAGGAUUUAUUUACUAAAGAAUGCGUAACGCUUUUUAAAGUAUUACAAUAUGAUAUUUAUUUAUAAUAUAAUCGUUACAGUAUGAUACAAUUUGUGGGCAGAGAAAGCCUAGUUAAUUCCUUUUAAUUUCAUUUAGGAAGGCAUUUCAAUGGCUAUUUCCCCUUAGAUAUUAAUCAUAAUAAGGAUAAAUCACUAUAGGCCAAUAUCAUUUCAAGCUAAAGCUCAAAUCCUCCUUGUCAACAAACAUUCCUUUCACACGUGCUAAUCGCGUAUACUUUUUUUACUGCAAAUGUCUGGAAUACUACUACCAGCUUCAAGUCGCUUAAAGAGUGAUUGGACCGAUUAUACGCUUAUUAUAGCGUCAAAUUGCGUUGGAAACGUGGGACAAUUAUCAGCUGAUUUGUUAAUUUCAACGCUCUGGCUGAAUAAAAUAGCUUAUUUGCAUACUGAUUUAUUACUUCCAGCUGUUGGUAAUGAUCCAUAUGCAACAGGUAAGAUCGAGAAAACUUGUAAAUUAAGUACCUGUUGUGAACUAUAUGAAAAUGAAGCCUUGAAAUUAGCAAUUAUACAAUUAAGGUCUAGGAUAGCAAAGGGUAGAAAAGGAGAGUAUGUAAGAAGAUUAGAACAUUGGAUACGAUGUUCAAAAUUUGAAAAUGUCAUCAUAGUAUCUUCAUCUAAUUUACACAAACGGCAAGAGUCUGAAAUAAAGGGCCCAACUUUCAAAUAUUUGAUAUCCGACACUUUAAAGGAAAGCGCCGGUAAAGUACUAAAAGACAGCCUUGAAUGGAAAGAGCACGAGUACGAAUCCAUUGAUAACGUUCAAUUACCCGGUAGCGGUAUAGCAUUACCGUUAUUCUCAAAGUGUUCAAAAUUCGAUAUGAAUAUAAUUUUAAUCUUCGUAUAUACGGAAAGAGGAGAUAAUCUACAAAAUGCUUAUAUACUAUGUAACAUGCUCAACGAUUGGAAAGGUUGGUUGGAUAUGAAAAAAAGUGGAAAAACCGAAAUUGCAAAAGGUCAAUGGAAACCUCCAGUAAGUUGGCGAUGGCGUCACGGUUACAAAAAGGAUGAUAUGUAUAAGUCUUAAACCAGUUGAUUAGGAUGAGACAAUAUUGUUCUCUUGUUAUUUUUUACAUUUCUUUUAGCUAACCCUGCCAAAGAAAUAGUGUUACAGUAAUAUUUAAAGUUUAAUACAUUUUUUAUGCAACGA